Long non-coding RNA from Cucurbita pepo subsp. pepo (vegetable marrow), 522 nucleotides. RefSeq lists it as uncharacterized. Lineage: Eukaryota; Viridiplantae; Streptophyta; Magnoliopsida; Cucurbitales; Cucurbitaceae. The record is from RefSeq and is a predicted model, not a curated record.
UUUUNUCUUCCCUCACUUUCAGGCCUGGUCUAAGUGAAGCAUGGCCAUUUGAUUAGAACCUAUUUAUCGCCCAUAAAUGUGAUGGGAGCAUCUUUGCAUCUACAAUUUAAAGGAAUCUUCGGAACUUGUGGAGGAUAUGGAGAUUGCAGAAGAGUGAGAGUGGGACUGAUAUGAUGAAACUUAAACGAGAGAAGAGGUUAAAGGAGAGAAAAAAAGGAAAUUGUUGCAGAAAAGAAUUGGUUAAGACGAAUCAAAACACAGGGGAACAUCACAACUUCACCCUUUCCCCAUUGCUGGCUAAGUUCACCCAUCAUUGGACGCCCAUUUCCCCAUCGCCUUGGAUGAAAUUUAUGACGUUUCAGAGGUAGGCGAUGGCGGCGACCUGUCGGAGGAGGAUUAAAGGAGAGAGUAAGUAUCCUCCUCAUCAGCAAGAACAAAUAAUACGAAAAUGGUUUUAUUUUCGUAAUUAUAUUUCACAAUCAGAAAAUUUAAUUGGAGUAGUAAAUGGUUGUAUUUUGCGUU